This 254-nucleotide ribosomal RNA is filed under the name uncultured bacterium. RNAcentral describes it as "partial 16S ribosomal RNA". It matches the Rfam family "Bacterial small subunit ribosomal RNA", at positions 524 to 776 of the family's 1533-position model. The record is from RNAcentral.
GACGGAGGGUGCUAGCGUUUGUUCGGAAUCACUGGGCGUAAAGGGCGCGUAGGCGGCCUCAGGUGUCGGAUGUGAAAGCCCGGGGCUCAACCCCGGAGGUGCAUCCGAAACUCUGGGGCUGGAGGUCGGAAGAGGAGGGUGGAAUACCCAGUGUAGAGGUGAAAUUCGUAGAUAUUGGGUGGAACACCGGUGGCGAAAGCGGCUCUCUGGUCCGGACCUGACGCUGAGGAGCGAAAGCGUGGGGAGCGAACAGG